Molecule: ribosomal RNA, 525 nt
Filed under: uncultured bacterium
Lineage: Bacteria
Description: bacterial SSU rRNA
Rfam family: Bacterial small subunit ribosomal RNA
Source: RNAcentral
GAAUGAGGAAAGCGGCGAACGGGUGAGUAACGCGUGGGCAACCUGGCCUUAAGAAAAGGAUAGCCCCCCGGAAACGGGGAGUAAUACUUUAUGAGAAUGAAAGAGGGCAUCCUACUUUCAUUCAAAGCGCAAGCGCUUAAGGAUGGGCCCGCGUAUCAUUAGCUAGUUGGUGAGAUAACAGCCCACCAAGGCAACGAUGAUUAGCCGGUCUGAGAGGGCGAACGGCCACAUUGGAACUGAGAGACGGUCCAAACUCCUACGGGAGGCAGCAGUGGGGAAUAUUGCGCAAUGGAGAAGAACUCUGACGCAGCAAUACCGCGUGAGCGAAGAAGGUCUUCGGAUCGUAAAGCUCUGUUAUCAGGGAAGAAGAAAAUGACGGUACCUGAUGAGCAAGUCCGGCUAACUACGUGCCAGCAGCCGCGGUAAGUACGUAGGGGACAAGCGUUGUCCGGAAUCACUGGCGUAAGGGACGCGCAGGCGGUGAUUUAAGCAGGAUGUGAAAGGCUACGGCUCAACCGUAGACAU